This 279-nucleotide ribosomal RNA is filed under the name uncultured bacterium. RNAcentral's name for it is "partial 16S ribosomal RNA". It matches the Rfam family "Bacterial small subunit ribosomal RNA", at positions 506 to 784 of the family's 1533-position model. The record is from RNAcentral.
UGCCAGCCGCCGCGGUAAUACGGAGGGGGUUAGCGUUGUUCGGAAUUACUGGGCGUAAAGCGCACGUAGGCGGAUUGGAAAGUUGGGGGUGAAAUCCCGGGGCUCAACCCUGGAACUGCACUCGAAACUGCUUCGCUCGAGUCCUGGAGAGGGUGGUGGAAUUCCCAGUGUAGAGGUGAAAUUCGUAGAUAUUGGGAGGAACACCGGUGGCGAAGGCGACCACCUGGACAGUGACUGACGCUGAGACGCGAAAGCGUGGGGAGCAAACAGGAUUAGAUA